GACGAACGCUGGCGGCGCGCCUAACACAUGCAAGUCGAACGAGCGAGAGAGAGCUUGCUUUCUCGAGCGAGUGGCGAACGGGUGAGUAACGCGUGAGGAACCUGCCUCAAAGAGGGGGACAACAGUUGGAAACGACUGCUAAUACCGCAUAAGCCCACGGGUCGGCAUCGACCAGAGGGAAAAGGAGCAAUCCGCUUUGAGAUGGCCUCGCGUCCGAUUAGCUAGUUGGUGAGGUAACGGCCCACCAAGGCGACGAUCGGUAGCCGGACUGAGAGGUUGAACGGCCACAUUGGGACUGAGACACGGCCCAGACUCCUACGGGAGGCAGCAGUGGGGAAUAUUGCACAAUGGGGGAAACCCUGAUGCAGCGACGCCGCGUGGAGGAAGAAGGUCUUCGGAUUGUAAACUCCUGUUGUUGGGGAAGAUAAUGACGGUACCCAACAAGGAAGUGACGGCUAACUACGUGCCAGCAGCCGCGGUAAAACGUAGGUCACAAGCGUUGUCCGGAAUUACUGGGUGUAAAGGGAGCGCAGGCGGGAAGACAAGUUGGAAGUGAAAUCUAUGGGCUCAACCCAUAAACUGCUUUCAAAACUGUUUUUCUUGAGUAGUGCAGAGGUAGGCGGAAUUCCCGGUGUAGCGGUGGAAUGCGUAGAUAUCGGGAGGAACACCAGUGGCGAAGGCGGCCUACUGGGCACCAACUGACGCUGAGGCUCGAAAGUGUGGGUAGCAAACAGGAUUAGAUACCCUGGUAGUCCACACCGUAAACGAUGAUUACUAGGUGUGGAGGAUUGACCCUUUCAGUGCCGCAGUUAACACAAUAAGUAAUCCACCUGGGGAGUACGACCGCAAGGUUGAAACUCAAAGGAAUAGACGGGGGCCCGCACAAGCAGUGGAGUAUGUGGUUUAAUUCGACGCAACGCGAAGAACCUUACCAAGUCUUGACAUCCUGCGACAGACAUAGAAAUAUGUUUUUCCUACGGGACGCAGAGACAGGUGGUGCAUGGUUGUCGUCAGCUCGUGUCGUGAGAUGUUGGGUUAAGUCCCGCAACGAGCGCAACCCUUAUGGUCAGUUACUACGCAAGAGGACUCUGGCCAGACUGCCGUUGACAAAACGGAGGAAGGUGGGGAGGACGUCAAAUCAUCAUGCCCUCUAUGACUUGGGCUACACACGUACUACAAUGGCGUUAAACAAAGAGAAGCAAGACCGCGAGGUGGAGCAAAACUCAGAAACAACGUCCCAGUUCGGACUGCAGGCUGCAACUCGCCUGCACGAAGUCGGAAUUGCUAGUAAUCGUGGAUCAGCAUGCCACGGUGAAUAAAAAGCCGGGCCUUGUACA
This 1337-nucleotide ribosomal RNA is filed under the name uncultured bacterium. RNAcentral's name for it is "bacterial SSU rRNA". It matches the Rfam family "Bacterial small subunit ribosomal RNA", at positions 28 to 1387 of the family's 1533-position model. The record is from RNAcentral.